RNAcentral lists this small nuclear RNA (79 nucleotides) under Homo sapiens (human). RNAcentral's name for it is "partial ncRNA". The record is from RNAcentral. Lineage: Eukaryota; Metazoa; Chordata; Mammalia; Primates; Hominidae.
AGAGAAUAGCUUGAACCCAGGAGGCAGAGGUUAUGGUGAGCCGAGAUUGUGCCAUUGCACUCCAGCCUGGGCAACAAGA